CGCAGUAGGUGGUCUAGGAAU
This 21-nucleotide non-coding RNA is filed under the name Caenorhabditis elegans. Lineage: Eukaryota; Metazoa; Nematoda; Chromadorea; Rhabditida; Rhabditidae. The record is from RNAcentral.